GUGUAAGUGCAGUAAUGCAUUCAGCUGAUGGUUACUAAUAGGUCGAAAGCUUAUCCA
Molecule: ribosomal RNA, 57 nt
Filed under: Lachnospiraceae bacterium
Lineage: Bacteria; Bacillati; Bacillota; Clostridia; Lachnospirales; Lachnospiraceae
Description: partial 23S ribosomal RNA
Source: RNAcentral